CCCUUAGAUGUCCUGGGCCGCACGCGCGCUACACUGAUGCAUGCAACGAGUUUAUAACCUUGGCCUGAAAGGUCUGGGUAAUCUUUUGAACGUGCAUCGUGAUAGGGAUAGAUUAUUGCAAUUGUUAAUCUUGAACGAGGAAUUCCUAGUAAACGCGAGUCAUCAGCUCGCAUUGAUUACGUCCCUGCCCUUUGUACACACCGCCCGUCGCACCUACCGAUUGAAUGGUUCGGUGAAGAUCUCUGACUUCGAUAUUUAUUCUUUAUUGAGUUUAUAUUGUGGGAAGUUAUCUAAACCUCAUCAUUUAGAGGAAGGUGAAGUCGUAACA
Molecule: ribosomal RNA, 328 nt
Filed under: uncultured eukaryote
Lineage: Eukaryota
Description: partial 18S ribosomal RNA
Rfam family: Eukaryotic small subunit ribosomal RNA
Source: RNAcentral